This 106-nucleotide small RNA is filed under the name Paenimyroides tangerinum. RNAcentral's name for it is "6S-Flavo RNA". It matches the Rfam family "6S-Flavo RNA". The record is from Rfam by way of RNAcentral. Lineage: Bacteria; Pseudomonadati; Bacteroidota; Flavobacteriia; Flavobacteriales; Flavobacteriaceae.
ACUCAACGCCAACAAAUUAAAAUGGACGAAACUUUGCUACUAUAGCACGCUACCUCGAGUAGAUCCUUGAACAGCAAGAUAGUUCAAAACUUGUUUUUAAGAGUUU